Long non-coding RNA from Equus asinus (donkey), 2156 nucleotides. NCBI's taxonomy places the organism in Eukaryota, Metazoa, Chordata, Mammalia, Perissodactyla, Equidae. The record is from Ensembl.
UUACUCAAGCCCCAGAACCAUCAGAGCAGUGUCGAAGAGGAAAACCUGAAAGGAGGAGGAUUUUUGAAGGAAAGGAAACUGGAAAAGAGGAGGGCAGUUUUACCUGAAUUGUUUUGCCUGGAGAAAUAAAGGUGCAUAAGUACAUUACGGCAGCAUGACCUUCCACCCCUUCUCCCCGGACCAGCUCCUCUUCAGCCUUCACAACGAAUGCUGGAAUCCACGGAUGUGGCGAUCACUCCCUGAUCCGGGCAGACUCUGAAACACGUUCUCCUGAUUUUCCACAGCUCUCUUCAUCCCUCCGUUAUUGUGCUGUCUCGUGUGAGCGUUACCCUUUAGGUGUCUGCUGCCCUAGACGAGGCUUCUUAUUCAUUUCCCCAUCCCCUAAGAUAUACGAAAGGGCUUCUGUAAUGUUUGCAAAAUGAAUAAAUAAAACCCUGAGGUCUGUCAGAAUCACCCAGAACUGCUCUUCACAAGCACAGGACCCACUGGCAAGCCCCCAGGCCAUGCAGGCGCUGACCUUGAUCCUCAGGCACUGUGGUUCCUUCAAGGAAGCCUCUGGGAAGGCUGGAAUCCAGGUCACACAGAGGUAAUCCAGCUAGAAAAGGAAGGAGGCGCUUUCACAUGAGAUAGGAAGGGGCAGUAGAUGAGAAAUCGGCCUUGGAAACGCCGCUGUGUGGCUAGACUACGGGACUACGAGGAUGGACACUGUCUAAAACGAGACGUGUGCCCCCGCAUCUCAUGGAGACAACGAGCGCUGCUGCUGGGGAGACCCAGCCUGGGAGGUUGAUGAGGGAAGACAAAGGAGGCGGUUUCCUUUUUUCUGUAACUGAGGGCAGCAAUCGCUUUGCAGUCAUAAUUCGGACACUUAACAGUGAGCGCUUCUGAGAGGGGAGGAGGAGAUUGGGAGGCGAAGGAAGGAAGGGAGGAAGAGGAGCAUCCCCCGGGGCUUUGCAGUGAGCAGAUGACCGCAAAGGAGCGAGCCGCCUUCUGUGGUGAUGACAGAGGAGUCUCCUGCGGUGCUGAGAGCAGCCCAGCAGGACAGGGGCCGGUGACCCGACCAUGGGCGGCCUAGGGACCUAAUGCUGCUGCUCAGCUGCCCAAUCGUCGGCCCUUCGAGGGGACACAGCAGACUUCAGAGGGAAAGCUGGGGAGAGCAACUUUGUAUCUGUCUGUCACGAGUCCUAUCAGUGGAGCAGGGUUAUUUUGAACUAACAACAAUUAGGCCAGGAUUUCAGAGCUUAGUUCUGUUCUGUGAUUUUGGCUUGCCCUGUAGUCAUGAUGCUACAUGUGCUUCAAGAAACACACACAGUUUUCCAUUAAGUUCUUUGGAAAGUUUGAGGAGACCCCCUGGCUGCUGCUCAUCAUUAGGGAGUGGGCUUUCUGGCACCUUCUAAACACUCAGUUCCACAAGACGUGGGACGCAGCUGGAACCUGCAUAUCCAGGAUCCUCCUCAGGCGCUAAUCAGGGUGCUCUUUGCCUUUGCCUCCUUUCCUUUGUAAUCUCUCGUCCACCAUGGCCACCCCGACCUUUGCCCUCUCUCCCUGACCAGCUCCUCCAUAUCCUUCGUGACCAGCACCGUGGUCAGCACGGGUGGACAACCUUCCCUGACCCGGACGGACUCCUCAGUUCUGGUUUCUACAGCACUCCUUCGUGCCUGUUACUGCACUUACUUCCCAUGAGUGUUACACACCUGGGGAGCUGGACACGGGACCUGUGUGUCAGGUGCACAUGCCGUGCUUGUGGCCCAAACAGGUCCCCGCUCCUGACCUCCAGGUCUUUGCUGUUGUUCUGGGAGGACACCCUCGCCUCCUGCUCCACUGUGCUCCUGGAACAGGACUAAACUGGCCCCCUUUGUGGCUCCUCAGACAGCAUUUGAUGAUGAGUCAGCGAGGACAGGCCGCCCUCAGCACCCCCAGGGCUGUUCGGCCCGGCAGGACUGCACUGCCCACCUUCUCAUGGCGGUUACUGAUUGCCUUCUAGACCUGCCUCAGAGCUUCCCGUAACCUGGUGGUGAACGAAAUGCACAGCCUUCCAACUCAGUGACAUUUAAGGCAGCCAGUCAUCGGUUCAGGCAGCAAAAUAAAUUGGUACUCAGCUGCUCUCAGUCUCUUUUUCUGGUUAAAGCUAUAAAUAACAGAAAUGAUUGUGCCACUGC